This is a long non-coding RNA of Panicum hallii, 1542 nucleotides long. RefSeq lists it as uncharacterized. The record is from RefSeq and is a predicted model, not a curated record. The transcript has 2 exons. Lineage: Eukaryota; Viridiplantae; Streptophyta; Magnoliopsida; Poales; Poaceae.
CGGUUCCAUCCAUCCCAUCCCCACGCUCUACUCUACGCUUGGACCUCGCCCUCGCUCCUCUCUACUCCUGGCACCGGGCGAAGUUUCCGCGAAGCUUCCUCGCCGGUUUAAUUUGGUCCUUAACCACGUAUAAAAGGCGGCGGCGACGCCGACGCCGGCGCGUAGCUGGGGAAUUAUCCUGUAUUCUUGUUAUUGACGGAUGAUGAAGAAACCAAAGCCUGCCGGCGAUGACGGUGCCCACGGCCUCCGGCAUCCACCGCAGCGGUGCCCGCCGCUGGUCGGACCGGGGCGACGCGAGCAUGGCCGGGUGCGGUGGGUGAUGUCGGGAGCCACGCGCAUCCGCCGGCGCCGGAACGCGGCAAGGUGAGUGGGUGGAGCUGGCCGUCUGGGUGGUAACUAGGGCGGCAAAGGAGGGGAAGCGGCGGCGGCGGCACCGACGUCCUCCGUGUACUGUGGAGUAUGAUGGCACAGAUCCCGUGAAGACGACUCUCGGUACUGUAAUCCCUCCUCUCUCCUCCUGUUGCUCCUCGAUCUCUUCUUGCAGGAUCUGGAGGAUUUGUUUUUUCAUAAAGCAGAAUACCAGAACACAGUACCUUCUGCGGCUCGUAACGCCUCUCUCUCUCUCUCUGUUCAUAAAGAAAUAUUGUAAAACCUAACUCUUUAGAAAAUAUUUUAUUUUUCGUCGAUCUCCUCUUCUCCCUCAUUGUUUGUUCACAACGUACGUAGUGCGCCAGCAGUUGCAUCCGAUCAGCUGAUGAUGACUUAGGUGGCAAUGGUAGUCCUUUCUUUAGGAUUCUUUUCUUACGUCUUGCCUCCUCGUGUGUGUCGCCACCCUAUUCGCUGGCCGGCCGGUCGUUCAACGAUCACCCCUAGCUUUCUCCGUGUUUGAAUUUGCAUCCCGCGAGUUGCAAAAAAUUCCAGUCCGUGGAUAAUCAAUCAGAGGAGUGGUGGACCACCACGUGUGCUGCUAGCUUCACCGAGACCACACAGCGCGUUAGCUGCCCCCGGUGUGAUUGUGCUAGGUUAACCAAAGAUUAGUGGUGUUAACCCUCAACUUAGAGAAACCCUGCUGCGCGAGAGCUGGCUGUCGGUAGCUAUGGGCUACUGCCACAGCUAUAACUAACGCGUUUCAAAUUGCAGAUCGUUUUCGAUAACUUAGAGAUGCAUAAUUGUUGCUAUGCAUCUAAAUACAAUAUUUAUCUAGAUGCAUAAUAAAAACUAUAUAUCCUAUCUAGAUUUUUCAAAAUAACCCACAUUUUAGAAUGGAGGGAGUACUUCGUAUGCUCCUAAUUGUAGGUGGUUUUAGCAAAUUUAGAUAUAUAAUUUUUACUAUAUAUAUCUAGAUACAGUAUAUACGUAGGUGCAUAACAAUAACAAAAGCAAUGUAUCUAGAAAUUCUAAAGCAACAUAUAAUUUGAAACGGAGAAGUAAUGUACUAUUUCAAGAAGACACUGUGCGGAAUACAUGCAUGGUUCCAUGAAGUCAGUAGCGCAGGCCGUGAGAGACCGCUUCGUUGCAGACUUGCAGCUGAAAAACAUGCGG